Molecule: ribosomal RNA, 501 nt
Filed under: uncultured soil bacterium
Lineage: Bacteria
Description: bacterial SSU rRNA
Rfam family: Bacterial small subunit ribosomal RNA
Source: RNAcentral
AGAGUUUGAUCCUGGCUCAGGACGAACGCUGGCGGCGCGCCUAACACAUGCAAGUCGAGCGAGAACCGGGGGCUUGCCCCCGGGGACAGCGGCGAACGGGUGCGUAACACGUGAGCAACCUGCCCCAAAGACCGGGACAACCCGAGGAAACUCGGACUAAUACCGGAUGCCCUCACCGGGUCGCAUGGUCUGGUGAGGAAAUGGAUUCCGCUUUGGGAUGGGCUCGCGGUCUAUCAGCUUGUUGGUGGGGUAACGGCCUACCAAGGCGACGACGGAUAGCUGGUCUGAGAGGACGAUCAGCCACACUGGGACUGAGACACGGCCCAGACUCCUACGGGAGGCAGCAGUGGGGAAUCUUGCGCAAUGGGGGAAACCCUGACGCAGCGACGCCGCGUGCGGGAUGAAGGCCUUCGGGUUGUAAACCGCUUUCAGCAGGGACGAAAUUGACGGUACCUGCAGAAGAAGGCCCGGCCAACUACGUGCCAGCAGCCGCGGUAAUUC